GCCGCUUUAGCUCAGUCUGGCAGAGCACCGGACUUUUAAUCCGAGGGCCGUGGGUUCAAGCCCCACAGGCGGCACCA
Molecule: transfer RNA, 77 nt
Filed under: Caudoviricetes sp.
Lineage: Duplodnaviria; Heunggongvirae; Uroviricota; Caudoviricetes
Description: tRNA-Lys
Rfam family: tRNA
About the family: Transfer RNA (tRNA) molecules are approximately 80 nucleotides in length. Their secondary structure includes four short double-helical elements and three loops (D, anti-codon, and T loops).
Source: RNAcentral